Molecule: transfer RNA, 61 nt
Filed under: uncultured Olsenella sp.
Lineage: Bacteria; Bacillati; Actinomycetota; Coriobacteriia; Coriobacteriales; Atopobiaceae
Rfam family: tRNA
About the family: Transfer RNA (tRNA) molecules are approximately 80 nucleotides in length. Their secondary structure includes four short double-helical elements and three loops (D, anti-codon, and T loops). Further hydrogen bonds mediate the characteristic L-shaped molecular structure. tRNAs have two regions of fundamental functional importance: the anti-codon, which is responsible for specific mRNA codon recognition, and the 3' end, to which the tRNAs corresponding amino acid is attached (by aminoacyl-tRNA synthetases). tRNAs cope with the degeneracy of the genetic code in two manners: having more than one tRNA (with a specific anti-codon) for a particular amino acid; and 'wobble' base-pairing, i.e. permitting non-standard base-pairing at the 3rd anti-codon position.
Source: RNAcentral
GAUGGCGCAGUGGUAGCGCAGCUGACUGUUAAUCAGCGUGUCGCAGGUUCGAAUCCUGCUC